This 468-nucleotide ribosomal RNA is filed under the name uncultured bacterium. Its description in RNAcentral is "partial 16S ribosomal RNA". It matches the Rfam family "Bacterial small subunit ribosomal RNA", at positions 28 to 507 of the family's 1533-position model. The record is from RNAcentral.
GACGAACGCUGGCGGCGUGCUUAACACAUGCAAGUCGAACGGAAAGGCCCUGCUUUUGUUGGGUUCUCGAUUGGCGAACGUGUGAGUAACACGUGAGUAACCUGCCCUUUACUUUGUGAUAUCUUCUGUUAACUUGUUCUAAUACCUGCUAUGAUCUCCUUCUUCUUGUUGGUUGUUGGUUAUUUUCGGCGGUUGGGGAUGGACUCGCGGCUUAUCAGCUUGUUGGUGGGGUAGUGGCUUACCAAGGCUUUGACGGGUAGCCGGCAUGAGAGGGUGACCGGCGACAUGGGGACUGAGAUAAGGCGCAGACUCAAACGGGAGGAAGCAGGGGGGAAUAUUGCAAAAUGGGAGGAAGCCUGAGGAAGAAACGACGGGAGAGGGAUGAAGGGCUUCGGGUUGAAAACCGAUUUAGAAUGUGAAGAAGCGUGAGUGACGGUAAUGGGUAAAGAAGCACCGGCUAACUACGUG